Molecule: ribosomal RNA, 253 nt
Filed under: uncultured bacterium
Lineage: Bacteria
Description: partial 16S ribosomal RNA
Rfam family: Bacterial small subunit ribosomal RNA
Source: RNAcentral
UACGAAGGGGGCAAGCGUUGUUCGGAAUUAUUGGGCGUAAAGGGCGCGUAGGCGGUUUGACAAGUCUGAUGUGAAAUCUCUGGGCUCAACCCAGAGUCUGCAUUAGAAACUGUCGGGCUUGAGUAUGGGAGAGGUGAGUGGAAUUUCCGGUGUAGCGGUGAAAUGCGUAGAUAUCGGAAGGAACACCUGUGGCGAAAGCGGCUCACUGGACCAUAACUGACGCUGAGGCGCGAAAGCUAGGGGAGCAAACAGG